GGGUUACGGUACAGAGUCAAUGUGGAGGCUAUAUACAGGGGGUUACGGUACAGAGUCAAUGUGGAGGCUAUAUACAGGUUAUUACGGUACAGAGUCAAUGUGGAGGCUAUAUACAGGGGGUACUGGUACAGAGUCAAUGUGGAGGCUAUAUACAGGUUAUUACGGUACAGAGUCAAUGUGGAGGCUAUAUACAGGGGGUACUGGUACAGAGUCAAUGUGGAGGCUAUAUACAGGGUAUUACGGUACAGAGUCAAUGAGGAGACUAUAUACAGGUUAUUACGGUACAGAGUCAAUGUGGAGGCUAUAUACAGGUUAUUACGGUACAGAGUCAAUGAGGAGGCUAUAUAAAGGGUAUUACGGUACAGAGUCAAUGUGGAGGCUAUAUACAGGUUAUUACGGUACAGAGUCAAUGAGGAGGCUAUAUAAAGGGUAUUACGGUACAGAGUCAAUGUGGAGGCUAUAUACAGGUUAUUACGGUACAGAGUCAAUGAGGAGGCUAUAUACAGGGGGUACCGGUACAGAGUCAAUGUGGAGGCUAUUUACAGGGUAUUACGGUACAGAGUCAAUGUGGAGGCUAUAUACAGGGUAUUACG
Long non-coding RNA from Oncorhynchus tshawytscha (Chinook salmon), 593 nucleotides. The record is from Ensembl. NCBI's taxonomy places the organism in Eukaryota, Metazoa, Chordata, Actinopteri, Salmoniformes, Salmonidae.